RNAcentral lists this transfer RNA (73 nucleotides) under Urocitellus parryii (Arctic ground squirrel). Its description in RNAcentral is "Spermophilus parryii (Arctic ground squirrel) tRNA". It matches the Rfam family "tRNA". Rfam says of the family: Transfer RNA (tRNA) molecules are approximately 80 nucleotides in length. Their secondary structure includes four short double-helical elements and three loops (D, anti-codon, and T loops). Further hydrogen bonds mediate the characteristic L-shaped molecular structure. tRNAs have two regions of fundamental functional importance: the anti-codon, which is responsible for specific mRNA codon recognition, and the 3' end, to which the tRNAs corresponding amino acid is attached (by aminoacyl-tRNA synthetases). tRNAs cope with the degeneracy of the genetic code in two manners: having more than one tRNA (with a specific anti-codon) for a particular amino acid; and 'wobble' base-pairing, i.e. permitting non-standard base-pairing at the 3rd anti-codon position. The record is from Rfam by way of RNAcentral. RNAcentral also lists the same sequence under 1 other name. Lineage: Eukaryota; Metazoa; Chordata; Mammalia; Rodentia; Sciuridae.
GGAGAUAGAGCUCAGUUGGUAGAGUACUUGCAUUGCAUGCACAAGGCCCUGGGUUCAAUCCUCAGUACUCCCC